GCUUAAAGAGCAUUCUGUUUUAAAAAACCGUGUUUUUUAUAUCUCUCUCCUCGCUCAGCUCUCAAACCAGAAGCAAGUGCCACAGAAAUUCCUCGCUACACUGCCCUUGAUUCCCAAAUCUUCUCCAAAUCGAAGAGAGCCACGGAAAUUCGAAGGCUUAGCCCUCAGUUCGUAACCCGAUCCACUCCAGAAAUUCAAAGCCCAGAUCGCGAUUGCUGCAGACCUAGGUUCAGAUCACUGAGUUCUGAACUUCUCUGAGUUCUUAUGGCCCUCAGUUCGUGAUCCUUGACAAAACUUCCUCCGAGUUCUUCACAUCCUGACUUUUCAACGACGCCGAAAUCGAAACUCCACCGCCAAAAGAAAAGAAGGUAAGUCCCUUUCCGGACAGAUAUAUGCAAAAUUUACGAUUCACUUGUUAUUUAAUCGUUUUACAUUAUCUGAUUAUUUGAUUUUCUUUCAAUUUGUCCGUCGGCGGAGAUAACCCAGUUGAGAAGAUAAGCUUCAAAACCCUAAAUAUGAAAACAGGAAAAAAAACUACUUUUUUUUCUUCUUGAUUUUAAUGAAUGAUAUUAAAAAAUUAAGUAAAAAUUACUUCUACAGAUCAAAUGUGAUUAUUAAAAAAAUCUGAUACUUAUUUUUUCUUGCUACUUUUUUUUCUUCUUGAUUUUAAUGAAUUAUAUUUUCUGUUAAAAUGCAGUGUGACAACUUGGAUUUGGUAAUUGGAUGCAUGUGGUAUAAUUCAUAACAAAUUCCACUUUACUGAUGUUUACAGUGGUUCUAUCUUGGAUGUACCACAAUUUCCAAUCAUAUGGGUUUCUUUGAUUUUGCUACUUUGGAAUUUCUUUGGAACCAUCUCUAUCCAAAAAGAUGCUUAAAUAGGAAAAUUUGUAAUUAUAAUUUGGGAGAUGUAAUGAAUUGAUUGUAAUGGGAGAUGCACAAAUUUAUUCUGUUUUAUGUCUCUUUCUAUGGUUUGUAUGGCUGGACACCUGUUGCAACUAAUACUGAAACAUUACAGAUGAUUGAAUUUGGAAUCACUGUUACAUCAAAAUUAUGCAUAUAGUACUGAAACAUUACAGAUGAUAAAAUUCGGAAUCACUGUUACAUCAAAAUUAAACAUAUAGUACUAAAACAUUACAAAUGAUAAAAUUUUGCAUUACAUGCUCCAUCAAAAUUAAGCUGGCCAGUAACCCCAGCUUGACAUUGGACUGACAUUCAUCAAAGGGCUCCCGAAUGUGAGAUACUACAUAUGUAAAUAUAUGCAAAACAAAAUUUGUUCACUAACUUUAAAUUCUUUUUCAUUGACAG
Molecule: long non-coding RNA, 1305 nt
Filed under: Panax ginseng (ginseng)
Lineage: Eukaryota; Viridiplantae; Streptophyta; Magnoliopsida; Apiales; Araliaceae
Description: long non-coding RNA (PGIN_LNC010531)
Source: RNAcentral